This is a long non-coding RNA of Peromyscus eremicus (cactus mouse), 1813 nucleotides long. RefSeq lists it as uncharacterized. The transcript is spliced from 3 exons. Lineage: Eukaryota; Metazoa; Chordata; Mammalia; Rodentia; Cricetidae. The record is from RefSeq and is a predicted model, not a curated record.
AGUCCGUGACUGGGGUGGCGGGGGUGGGGUCAGGUUUUCAGAUCAAAGCUCCGCACCAUUUCCGGUUUGCUCUGUGUCAUGCUUACGGUUCAAGAUGAGCUCUCCGCUUCCCUCCCACCGUUGGUAGCCAUGCCGCCCGCCCGCCAUCAUGGACUCACUCUUGUCCCCCUGGAACCCUUUAUUGUUUUGAGAGAUUUUGGCUAUGUGUGUGAGGCAAUAACGGGACCAUGUCUGCACGAUGACACAGGUUUGGGUUUUACUGCCUUCCUUCUCCAUUUCACUAGUCAUUCAACGGGGAAAGCCAUGCUCACAACCAUGUACGAAUCCCUUCAUACUGAUCUCCAUGCUUGGGAUGGCUAAUCUUGAUUGUCAACUUGACUGCAUCUGGAAUCAACUAAAACCCAAGUAGCUGGGCACACCAGUGAGGAUUUCCUUGAUGGAAUUUGAGGUCAGAGGACCCACUUUAAAUCUGAGCCACACCUUUUAGUGGCAGCCAAUAUAAAGGGACAGAGAAGAAGGAGGCUCCUGCUUUUUGCCUGUUUGUUCUCACUCUUGCUGGCAAGUCCAUCUAUCCUGUUGCUGAGGCAUUCCUUCACUGUUAUUAGAGCCUACUUCUUCGGGAUUCCAAGGUAGACUGAAGAACAGCAGGUCUCUAGAAUUUUCCUGGGAUUCCAGCACCAGAUUGGGAAUGCAAAGACAUUCAGUCUCAUGUGUUGAACAACUACCAGAUCCUUGGCCUUUUUUGUUGGGAGACAUUCAGUUUUGGACUACUCAGACCACAGCCUGUAAGCCAUUCUAGUAAAUUACAUUUUAAUACACAUAUAUGUAUAUACAUAUAUAUUCAUUAUACAUACACAAUCCCCCCUCCUUCUUGCUCUCCCUCCCUCUAAAUUAUGUUUCUGUAGAGAACCCUAACACAGUGCUCACGUAAUCACCUGGAGACACAUGUGCACAAACAGGAAAUUUCUGUUCAAUAGCAGGACCACGUUCUGCCUCUUGCUCUUUUUGCUAAACAAAAACCUCAGAGAAAUCCCUCCUAGACGAACAGCGGCCGCUCUAAUUAACUCUUUUAAUUAUGUAUUCCUCAGUGAAGAUGAAGAUAUCCUAUGCUCCGACUGUUUGGUGUGAAGAAAUAAUGCUUCUUAUGAACAAAGGUUCCGUAAUUUAUGAGUCUUUUUUUCUGUACCUGCAAAGGUACUAGGACUGUUACCAGGCAUAUGACGGGGCAGCUAGCAAAUGGUCUUUGACCUUAACUAAUAGAUUGAUUUGGGGACAACCCCAGACUGCCAUCUCUUUAGGUAAGGGUCAGGUACUGUUGAAACAAUGACCCAAGCUUUCAGGGAAGUCACAGACGGCUGGCCAUGGGAUGAGAAAUAUUUUGAAAUAACAUGAUCAAGAGGAGUCAGGUAGGGGAAUAUGUCUAGGUAGUAAAGCAGAGAGGGAGCGAAAUGGAGGGAGAGAGGGAGAGAGGGAGAGGAGAGAAGACAGAGAGGGAAGGAGGGAUUUGUUCUUACCAAUACCCCUAAAAGAAUCAUUCCAGAACCAGGGGGGAUAGCUCCGUGGUAGAGCGCUUGCCUAUGGCAUGCCUAAGGUCUGGGUUCACUCACUGAUACUGUCUGGUGGGAAGGAGGAAGAGUCCAGAGAUAGUUUUAAAGACUAGCUUAAGGGAGAUUACCAAGUUAUUGGGCAGAUAAGAUGGCUCAGCAGCUCAGCAUUUGAGGUCAAGUCUGAUGACCUGAGUUGGAUCCCCAGGACCCCCAUAGUGCAAGGGAAUCAACCCCACUAGCGUUCUGACUACAUCCAUGCACAAGCA